RNAcentral lists this ribosomal RNA (512 nucleotides) under uncultured bacterium. RNAcentral's name for it is "bacterial SSU rRNA". It matches the Rfam family "Bacterial small subunit ribosomal RNA", at positions 34 to 518 of the family's 1533-position model. The record is from RNAcentral.
CGCUGGCGGCGUGCCUAAUACAUGCAAGUCGAACGGUCUUUCUAUGGAAGCUUGCUUCCACUGAGAAGAUAGUGGCGAACGGGUGAGUAACACGUGGGUAACCUGCCCAUAAGAGGGGGGAUAACAUCCGGAAACGGGUGCUAAUACCGCAUAGUUUUCUUGAUCGCAUGAUCGGGAAAGGAAAGACGGCCUUUGUGCUGCCGCUUAUGGAUGGACCCGCGGCGUAUUAGUUAGUUGGUGAGGUAACGGCUCACCAAGACGAUGAUACGUAGCCGACCUGAGAGGGUGAUCGGCCACAUUGGGACUGAGACACGGCCCAAACUCCUACGGGAGGCAGCAGUAGGGAAUCUUCCGCAAUGGACGAAAGUCUGACGGAGCAACGCCGCGUGAGUGAAGAAAGGUUUUCGGAUCGUAAAACUCUGUUGUCAGAGAAGAACAAGUUGGAGAGUAACUGCUCCAGCCUUGACGGUAUCUGACCAGAAAGCCACGGCUAACUACGUGCCAGCAGCGGC